UACGUAGGUGGCAAGCGUUGUCCGGAUUUACUGGGCGUAAAGGAUGCGUAGGCGGACAUUUAAGUCAGAUGUGAAAUACCCGAGCUUAACUUGGGUGCUGCAUUUGAAACUGGGUGUCUAGAGUGCAGGAGAGGUAAGUGGAAUUCCUAGUGUAGCGGUGAAAUGCGUAGAGAUUAGGAAGAACACCAGUGGCGAAGGCGACUUACUGGACUGUAACUGACGCUGAGGCAUGAAAGCGUGGGGAGCAAAUAGG
Molecule: ribosomal RNA, 253 nt
Filed under: uncultured bacterium
Lineage: Bacteria
Description: partial 16S ribosomal RNA
Rfam family: Bacterial small subunit ribosomal RNA
Source: RNAcentral